Molecule: long non-coding RNA, 971 nt
Organism: Astyanax mexicanus (Mexican tetra)
Lineage: Eukaryota; Metazoa; Chordata; Actinopteri; Characiformes; Acestrorhamphidae
Exons: 4
Source: RefSeq, a predicted model, not a curated record
GGAAGGGGUUGUGCCCAAAAUGUAUCAGCAAAGUUGGGAGCAUGACAUUGUGCUAAAUCUCUAAUCUCUAACUAAGGGACCGAGACCAACUUCUAAAAAACAACCCCACACCAUCAUCAUAAUACUAAUGAUCCCCCCUCUACCAAACUUUACACUUGGCACAGUGCAGUCAGACAUCUACUGUUCUCCUGGCAAUUAUGCUUGUUGAUGUAAGGUUUCAAUGCAUGAAAAACCACUCUACUUUUCUUGAUAUGAUCUGAAGCUACAUGAAGUUUGGAGGUGUGUAGUGAUGUAGUAACUCUGAAGCUACAUGAAGUUUGGAGGUGUGUAGUGAUGAUGAACUCUGAAGCUACAUGAAGUUUGGAGGUGUGUAGUGAUGUAGUAACUCUGAAGCUACAUGAAGUUUGGAGGUGUGUAGUGAUGAUGAACUCUGAAGCUACAUGAAGUUUGGAGGUGUGUAGUGAUGUAGUAACUCUGAAGCUACAUGAAGUUUGGAGGUGUGUAGUGAUGAUGAACUCUGAAGCUACAUGAAGUUUGGAGGUGUGUAGUGAUGAACUCUGAAGCUACAUGAAGUUUGGAGGUGUGUAGUGAUGAACUCUGAAGCUACAUGAAGUUUGGAGGUGUGUAGUGAUGAACUCUGAAGCUACAUGAAGUUCGGAGGUGUGUAGUGAGUGAUGAACUCUGAAGUUCAUCACUACACUGGGCUCCUGAGAGACCUAUGCUUUUAAAAUGUGUAAAAGUUUAUAGAUACAGUCAAAAAUGAGUAAAAUGAGUAAAAAAUAGUAAUAAUUACAUCCCAGCACAAAACCAGAACAUUAGAGUUACACCUUAAUCCUCCUCCAAAUCUUACAUAAGUAGUUAUAAAGGUAUUGUCAGGUGUUGCAUCAGGACAAAAAACAGGGUGAAAACACUAUUUUGCAAUCUCCAAGGCUAAUCCAAGGAUAAAUAGAGAAUUUUUAAAGCCACAAAUC